This 322-nucleotide ribosomal RNA is filed under the name uncultured Cercozoa. RNAcentral describes it as "SSU rRNA". The stretch from base 112 to 322 matches the Rfam family "Eukaryotic small subunit ribosomal RNA", at positions 744 to 955 of the family's 1831-position model. Lineage: Eukaryota; Cercozoa. The record is from RNAcentral.
GAUUUCUGGCUUGAAACAUUUUGCCGGCCACGGUUUCGUGUGUUAGUGCUUGAUGUUCUGGCCAUCCUUCCAAUUGCUAUUGGUUGCUCUUCAUUGAGUAGUCAGUAGUAUUGGAUCUUUUACUUUGAAAAAAUUAGAGUGUUUCAAGCAGGCUUUAUGCUAUGAAUACAUUAGCAUGGAAUAAUAAUUUAGGACUUCGGUUCUAUUUUGUUGGUUUCUAGGACUGAAGUAAUGAUUGAUAGGGAUAGUUGGGGGUGCUAGUAUUCAGCGGCCAGAGGUGAAAUUCUCGGAUUCGCUGAAGACUAACUUAUGCGAAAGCAUU